RNAcentral lists this long non-coding RNA (3137 nucleotides) under Homo sapiens (human). Its description in RNAcentral is "HSALNT0072009". The record is from RNAcentral. Lineage: Eukaryota; Metazoa; Chordata; Mammalia; Primates; Hominidae.
ACUUUUCAAAAGAAGAUAUUUAUUUGGCCAACAAACAUAUGAAAGAAAGCUCAUCAUCACUGGUCUUUAGAGAAAUGCAAAUCAAAACCACAAUGAGAUACCAUCACACACCAGUUAGAAUGGCAAUCAUUAAAAAGUCAGGAAACAACAGAUGCUGGAGAUGAUGUGGAGAAAUAGAAAUGCUUUUACACUGUUGGUGGGAGUGUAAAUUAGUUCAACCAUUGUGGAAGACAGUGUGGUGAUUCCUCAAGGAUCUAGAAUCAGAAAUACCAUUUGACCCAACAAUCCCAUUACUUGGGUAUAUACUGGGUAUAUACCCAAAGGAUUAUAAAUCAUUCUACUAUAAAGACACAUGCACAUGUAUGUUUAUUGAACUUAGAGUAUAAUUUUAAAAAAUAGUUAAAAAUUGGAAACAACUCAAAUAUCCAUUGAAAUUAGAAUAGAUAAAUAUGUAAAAUAGUUGUACAAUUCAAGACAAUGCAGAAAUGGGAAUAAAUGAAAUACAACUACAUACAACAUAGGUGGAUCAAACAAACAUAUCAUAAAAUUCCAUUUAUAGAAGGUUUAAAAAUAACCCAUACAAAUCCAAGGUGUUGGAACUCAGGAUAUUAAUUACUCUUGGGUUAGUGACUUAAAUAGGGAAUGAGAAUGGCUUCUGGAAUUCUAGAAUGUUUUCUUUCUUUCUUUUCUUUUCUUUUUCUUUUUCUUUUUCUUUUUCUUUUUUUGACAGAGUUUCACUCUGUUGCCCAGGCUGGAGUAUAGUGGCACCAUCUUGGCUCACUGCAACAUCUGCCUCCCAGGCUCAAGCGAUUCUCACUUGUGCACCUCAGCCUCCCAAGUAGCUGGGAUUACACGAAUGUACCACUGCACCUGGCUAAUUUGUGGGUGUGUAUGUGUGUUUAGUAGAGGUGGGGUUUCACCAUGUUGGCCACACUGGUCUCGAACUCCUGGCCUCAAGUGAUCCACCCACCUUGGCCUGCCAAAGUGCUGAGAUUACAGGCAUGAGCCACCACACCUGGCCAGAAUGUAUCAUUUCUUGAUCUGAGUCUGGUUACAGAGAUGUAUUCACUUUGCCAAUAUCAAUGAUGUUACAUACUCAUGAUUUGUGUACUUUUCUUUAUGUAUGUGUGAGCAAAGAGUUAAUAGCAGGUCUGUACCAUUUUUCUCCCAGAACUAUGCCUGCUUGGGAAAUUUUAGGUUUGUCUUAUCCCAGCACGAAAGCUUCUUUGCAUCAAGGCAAACCCCCACAUACCACAACCUCAUCCAAAUACCACAAGCUCAUGCACGCUCUUUAGGCAGGUGAGGAGGGACCCAAGCAUCAUGCAUGCUUAAUUUCCUGUCCUGUAUCCUACUAUAAAGCUAAGCAAAUUUAGUGCUAGGCUAAAUGCUAUUGUAUCUCAUCAGUUUGCUUGCCAGUCCAAACAUGUUCCCAAUACCAUGGUGGUACCAUGUAUUGCACUUCAAUAAAAAGUUUACUAAAUUCCUUUAUCUAUUCUUGCCAAAAGGUUAUUUUCACUGAUUAUAUAUUCCGCUUGGCCUCCAAAUUCCUUCCAUUUUUCUGAGCCUCCUCGCUGUCUGUUGACCUCCUAUAUUCUCCUUUUUAGGACUCUACAAUUGACCCCUAAACCUCCUAUUCAUUUUUUUAUGCAGAGCUGUUUAAAUAUUGCACUAUCUCACCUCAAAUGACCCAGAGAACCCUCAUAUCAAUAACUAAUAUUAAGAUUGGUUGCAAAACAUAGUUCCUUUCCAGGAGAACUUGUAUAACUAUCUCUUUUUUUUUUGACAGAGUCUCACUCUGUCACCCAGGAUAGAGGGCAGUAGCACAGUCUCAGCUCACCGCAACUUCCACCUCCUGGGUUCAAGCAAUUCUCCUGCCUCAGCCUCCCGAGUAGCUGGGAUUACAGGCACGUGCCACCACGCCUGGCUAACUUUUCGUAUUUUUAGUAGAGACAGGGUUUCACCAUGUUGGCCAGGCUGAUCUCUAACUCCUGACCUCAGAUGAUCCACCCGCCUCGGCCUCCCAAAGUGCUGGAUUACAGGCAUGAGCCAUUGUGCCUGGCUGACUACCUCUUAAGGAAACUUUUUUGUUUAGUUAGACAAAGAAUGGUAAAUCUCUUUCCACGCACAUUCAAAAUUCACACAUUAUCUGGACUCUUAGUUACCUAGGACAUACCCCCAGUUAUUCUUGUACCUAAUUUGGUACCUCAAAUUUUCCCGAGGUGUUAAAACAAAAGGAAUAGAGCUUGCCUAGCACCUUAGAAGUGCUGCACCCUCUUAGAAGUGCCAGGCACUGUCAUAGUUGUUGCCCUCUUAGAAUGAUUUGCCUCUGGGUGUCACUCUUUGCUCUGUACCUGGUACAACUAUAGUGAUGGCAGAUGCUCCAUACUCAGUCCUAGCUUUUCAGUGUUUGGCUUUGCUGGGUUUUUUCUUUCUUUCUUUUUGAGAGAAAUGGGGACUUCCAAGCUGAGUAAAACCUGGAAAGGGCAACUUACUGCAGCCAUAUAUUGAUACUACAUUAUUUCCUAUGUCAUAAUAUUAACCUCCCUUCCAUCUGCUUUUGCUGUUUAGUAGUCUCAUGUCUUCUUGAGCUAGACUAUCUUAUGUAAAUUCAUGUUAUGUGAAUUGAGGUCUCAGUAAUAACAGCCUUCUGUCUUUCCUCACCGUAACAGGAGUCAUAGGAAAGGGGGUGUGAUAGUCUCAGAAACAGCCUAGCAUCUCAUACAAACUUGUUUCUGUUUUUGAGACAGGGUCUCGCUCUAUCACCCAGGCUGGAGUGCAGUGGCACAAUCAUGGCUCACUGCAGCCUUGAUCUCCUGGGCUCCUGUCUCAGCCUCCCAAGUAGCUGGGACUACGUGCAUGCAUGCACCACUACACCUAGCUUUUUUUUUCUUUUUUCUUUUUUCUUGUAAUAGAGAUAGGAUCUCACUUUGUUGCCCAGGCUGGUCUCAAACUGGGCUCAAGUUAUCUUCCCACCUUGGCCUCCCAAAGUGCUGGGAUUAUAGGCAUGAGCCACCACAUUCAGCCCAAACAUUUCUGAGACCACUACUUGAACUAUCAAGUCUCCUCUUGUAACUGAUUCUCAUUAGAAAUAAUACACAUUUAUUGAAUGUCAUUGAUAUAUAAAGAUACCAUUCUUU